UUUGCCCUGCCCAUGCUCGUGAUUGGGAACAACGUCCUUGAACCGUAAGCUCAAUAUCCAGGGACCUUAGCCGCAGAUGGUGGCCGACAGGCCUUCACUGGAAGUCGUAAGCCGCCGGGCGGGUCCCGUCUUGUCCCUCGCAGUUCAAAGGAACUGAUCACACACGGCAUUUACGGUGGGGCUCUU
This 186-nucleotide small RNA is filed under the name Verrucomicrobiales bacterium. RNAcentral describes it as "6S RNA". The record is from RNAcentral. Lineage: Bacteria; Pseudomonadati; Verrucomicrobiota; Verrucomicrobiia; Verrucomicrobiales.